GAAAAUCAGGUCAGUUUAAGGAUUAUCAUUUCAUUUUUGAUUAAUAGCUUACUUCUUUAAAGUUUAACAUAGAAAACAUUGUGCUUUAGUUGGAGCACAAUAUUUCCCUCCCAUAUCUUUCUAAGCAUUCAUGGAGCUGCUUUAAACAUUACUUACAAAGGGAAAGAAAAGGAGAAUGGUAUAUACAAAUCGAAAACAUACAAGGUUUUGAGAAAUUGUGAAAUGUGAAUAUAUCAGGUACUGGAAGCCCUUAA
RNAcentral lists this unclassified non-coding RNA (254 nucleotides) under Hevea brasiliensis (rubber tree). Lineage: Eukaryota; Viridiplantae; Streptophyta; Magnoliopsida; Malpighiales; Euphorbiaceae. The record is from RNAcentral.